CUCGGAGUUUGGAGCUGCCUGGACCCCUCCGGGCCCCGAGCACCAGGCUCUAACCAGCCUCCCAGGGAGCUUUGGGUCCCCGCUGGCAUCUGGGUACCGAAGCCCCUUCAGAUGCGGGGUGCCUGUAGUGACCCGCUCCACUGGACAAUAACGUCCCUUCCGGCCCGGGGUUGCCUGACCCCGACCCCACCCCACUUGACUGGUUCAUGCUGACAUUCGAGGAACAAUCCAGGGAAGGCAGGCCCGAGGCCGCCUGGGCUCUCACGGUUGGCCAGAUGAAGGGGUCCCGCGGCUGUCCCCAGAUGGGUGCAUCCAGGGAGGUGGCCGGAUAGGCACCUGGGCCUCCGUCCCCAGCUUCGCUUGCCCAGGGGCCACGGGAGCCCCGCAGCCACGCUCAGUGGUCUUCGUGGCAGGAAGUGCCAGGCAGUUCCGG
RNAcentral lists this long non-coding RNA (433 nucleotides) under Lynx canadensis (Canada lynx). RNAcentral describes it as "lncRNA (ENSLCNG00005003568.1)". The record is from RNAcentral. Lineage: Eukaryota; Metazoa; Chordata; Mammalia; Carnivora; Felidae.